Long non-coding RNA from Anguilla rostrata (American eel), 793 nucleotides. RefSeq lists it as uncharacterized. The transcript is spliced from 4 exons. The record is from RefSeq and is a predicted model, not a curated record. Lineage: Eukaryota; Metazoa; Chordata; Actinopteri; Anguilliformes; Anguillidae.
GUUUGGCAGUGCAACGAGUGCGUGGAGCUGAAGCGCGGAACUCAAGAGGAAUGAGAGGGAUCAAAGGAUUUAUCCAGUGCUCUUAUAGUGACCCUUCCCUCUGAGGAGACAAGUGGACCUAAACCAUGCCAGGAAAAUGCCCCCCACAGCAUAUCACAGCCACCGAACCCCCUCACUGUAGGGGUCAAGCAUUCAGAAUCCCUGGCCUGCCUGCGCCUGCCCUACUUUCCAGACCCGACAAACCGAUUUCGUCCAACGCGAUGGGGGACUGGGCGCGUGGGUAGGGGGUCGGCGGAGGUAAUGGGAGAGUUCUCGCAACGUGAAAGAAGGUUGGGUCCUGAUUUAAGGUGUCGUUAUCCAGGCGUACGAUCUGAGCUUCAUUUCGCGAAACACGGCAGGUUGUCCCAAUUCAGUGAUCGGGCGUAUCAGAGAUGUAUUUGGGGAAAGUUUCCUGAUUGUUAUUUAUGUUGCUGCACUGCUUCUCACACCAAUUCUUUAAGACACCAAUCUCCUUUGUGCACAGUUGAUUCGUGGGGGCCUGACUUCACUGUAUCUGGCUUUUUUCAUUUUAUAACAAAUUUUUUUGUUUGUUUUGUUUUGUUUCUCUUUUCUUUUUCUGCGCCGAGCAACAUAUAUACAUAUACCGGAACUAAAUAUUGUUUCUCAGUGGCAGAGUGACUGCAGGUCCAUUGGUGUAGCCAUUAUUUUAAAUAUGUGAAAAUGGUUUUUGUGAGAACUCUAUAUAUAUUUAGGUUUUUCUAACUGAAUGCAUCAAUUACAAAUAAAUGAAAAA